Molecule: long non-coding RNA, 490 nt
Filed under: Homo sapiens (human)
Lineage: Eukaryota; Metazoa; Chordata; Mammalia; Primates; Hominidae
Description: HSALNT0378289
Source: RNAcentral
UUAUGGUUAUUUCUUGAUCAUAUGUGAAACAAGGGGUGUAUUAUUCAUGAGUUUUCCAGGAAAAGGGCUGGCAAUUCUGGAACUGAGAGAUCCAUUUCCAUUGAGAGCAUAUAGGGUUACUUCUGGAUGUUGCCAUGGCAUUUGUAAACCAUUGUGUUCCGUCUCGCUCUGUUGCCCAGGCUGGAGUGCAGUGGCACCACCUCGGCUGACUGCAACUUCUGCCUCCCGGGUUCAAGCGAUCCUCCUGCCUCAGCCUCCCUGAGUGGCUGGUACUACAGGCCAGCAGAAGUAUGUUUAUCUGAUUUCUUCCUCUACAACCAACCAGAGAAAACUCUCUACUUUUAAAGAGCUCAACUGAUUCGGUCAGGCUGCGGCAGGAUAAUCUUUCUUUUGCCAAAAAUCAUAGCAUGAAGACUGUGUACAUCAAGGGCCAGGAAUCAUGAAAGACAUCUAAAAAUUCUGCCUACUACAGUGACCGGGGUCAUUUAAG